Long non-coding RNA from Camelina sativa (false flax), 430 nucleotides. RefSeq lists it as uncharacterized. The record is from RefSeq and is a predicted model, not a curated record. NCBI's taxonomy places the organism in Eukaryota, Viridiplantae, Streptophyta, Magnoliopsida, Brassicales, Brassicaceae.
GCCUUGUGAAGCAGAUGUUGGAACCUGAUCCCACUAAGCGUUCGACUCCUCAGCAAGUAUUUGUGUAUCCUUUUGCAGGAAGAGCAACGGGUUAUAGAAACCAAAAUAAGGAUAAGGCAUAAGGAAAUGCAGGCUGAUGAAGAGAAAAUGCAGAAACGUCUGGAAUCAUGUUCCUCUAGCACAAGCGCAAUGACUGGCGAAAUGGAAUAUGGUUCAGCUUCAUGUCGGUUUAUUUGCCCUGCCAGAACGUAUCAGGAACAAAUGGUGUCACAAAGGCAGUUUUGAUAGACUUUGUUUUUAAAUUAGAGAAAGAAGAGAUACCAUCAUUGUUUUGGACCAUGCACCUAAAAGGGUAUGUAUCAUCUCAUCUGAUACCAUUUUUUCUAUUCAUUGGAUAUAUCUAUUUAUUUAGUCGACAUUCAUGGCCUGA